This 440-nucleotide ribosomal RNA is filed under the name uncultured bacterium. RNAcentral describes it as "partial 16S ribosomal RNA". It matches the Rfam family "Bacterial small subunit ribosomal RNA", at positions 338 to 795 of the family's 1533-position model. The record is from RNAcentral.
CCUACGGGGGGCAGCAGUGGGGAAUAUUGCACAAUGGGGGAAACCCUGAUGCAGCGACGCCGCGUGAGUGAAGAAGUAAUUCGGUAUGUAAAGCUCUAUCAGCAGGGAAGAAAAUGACGGUACCUGAUUAAGAAGCCCCGGCUAACUACGUGCCAGCAGCCGCGGUAAUACGUAGGGGGCAAGCGUUAUCCGGAUUUACUGGGUGUAAAGGGGGUGCAGCCGGGAGUACAAGUCAGAUGUGAAAUGCCGCGGCUUAACCGCGGAACUGCAUUUGAAACUGUUUUUCUUGAGUACAGGAGAGGUAAGCGGAAUUCCUGGUGUAGCGGUGAAAUGCGUAGAUAUUAGGAAGAACACCAGUGGCGAAGGCGGAUGACUGGACUGCAACUGACGGUGAGGCGCGAAAGCGUGGGGAGCAAACAGGAUUAGAUACCCGAGUAGUC